Molecule: long non-coding RNA, 982 nt
Organism: Prunus persica (peach)
Lineage: Eukaryota; Viridiplantae; Streptophyta; Magnoliopsida; Rosales; Rosaceae
Exons: 5
Source: RefSeq, a predicted model, not a curated record
ACCUGUACAGCCCAUCACAUGCUAGUCACGUGGGCUUUUUUUAAAAACAAGUGAAACUGGUUCUUUUGGUUAACCAGUGAAAAUAAGGAAAAAAAAGCUCCCGCGCGUUCAAAACCUAGGCUGCACACAGAUCGAUUUCGUCUAUCUCCUCCUCCAUAGCUUUGCACAGCCACAGCUCUAUUUCGGUGAAGUCACAGCUGCACAGCUUCGUACAGCCUGAAGAAGCUCCCCCCACUUCGUCUUCUCCAUCUGAGGAGCAUAUUUCAACCAAAACCCAGAAACCCACUUCGUCUUCUCCAGCUGCUUCCUCCAUCUCGGCAGUGGCAAACUCAACAUCAGCAACUUUCUUACGUGUUGUUGGUAGUGAGUUGAUUCAGAAGUACUUGGGGGAUGGUCCGAAAUUAGUGAGGGAACUCUUUAGGGUUGCUGAUGACCUCUCACCCUCCAUUGUCUUCAUCAACGAAAUUGAUGCAGUUGGUACAAAGAGGUAUGAUGCCCAUUCAGGUGGUGAACGUGAAAUUCAGAGGACCAUGUUGGAGUUACUAAACCAGUUAGAUGGUUUUGAUUGAAGAGGAGAUGUCAAGGUGAUCUUGGCAACAAAUAGAAUUGAGAGUCUUGACCCAGCCUUGCUUCGUCCUGGCCGAAUAGAUAGGAAGAUUGAAUUCCCUCUUCCUGAUAAAAAAACAAGGAGGCGCAUCUUCCAGAUUCACACAUCCAGGAUGACGUUGGCUGAUGAUGUCAACUUAGAAGAAUUUGUUAUGACCAAGGAUGAGUUCUCUGGGGCUGAUAUAAAGGCAAUAUGUACUGAAGCUGGUUUGCUUGCUUUGAGAGAGCGCCGUAUGAAGGUGACACAUAUAGACUUCAAGAAGGCAAAGGAAAAGGUGAUGUUCAAGAAGAAAGAAGGGGUUCCGGAAGGGCUCUAUAUGUGUUAGGAAACUAUAUAUGAAAUAGUAGAAAAUAAAAAGGUAAAAAAUAUAUAAAU